CCGAGCCUUACACUCAUCACCCUGUGACAUACCUAAAACGUUGCUUCGGCGGGAACAGACGGCCCUGUAACAACGGGCCGCCCCCGCCAGAGGACCCCUAACUCUGUUUUUAUAAUGUUUUUCUGAGUAAACAAGCAAAUAAAUUAAAACUUUCAACAACGGAUCUCUUGGCUCUGGCAUCGAUGAAGAACGCAGCGAAAUGCGAUAAGUAAUGUGAAUUGCAGAAUUCAGUGAAUCAUCGAAUCUUUGAACGCACAUUGCGCCCGCCAGUAUUCUGGCGGGCAUGCCUGUUCGAGCGUCAUUACAACCCUCAGGCCCCCGGGCCUGGCGUUGGGGAUCGGCGGAAGCCCCCUGUGGGCACACGCCGUCCCUCAAAUACAGUGGCGGUCCCGCCGCAGCUUCCAUUGCGUAGUAGCUAACACCUCGCAACUGGAGAGCGGCGCGGCCAUGCCGUAAAACACCCAACUUCUGAAUGUUGACCUCGAAUCAGGUAGGAAUACCCGCUGAACUUAAGCAUAUCU
Molecule: ribosomal RNA, 521 nt
Filed under: Fusarium solani
Lineage: Eukaryota; Fungi; Ascomycota; Sordariomycetes; Hypocreales; Nectriaceae
Description: eukaryotic LSU rRNA
Rfam family: 5.8S ribosomal RNA (bases 148-301)
Source: RNAcentral